AGUGAACGCUGGCGGUAGGCCUAACACAUGCAAGUCGAACGGCAGCACAGAGGAGCUUGCUCCUUGGGUGGCGAGUGGCGGACGGGUGAGGAAUACAUCGGAAUCUACUCUGUCGUGGGGGAUAACGUAGGGAAACUUACGCUAAUACCGCAUACGACCUACGGGUGAAAGCAGGGGACCUUCGGGCCUUGCGCGAUUGAAUGAGCCGAUGUCGGAUUAGCUAGUUGGCGGGGUAAAGGCCCACCAAGGCGACGAUCCGUAGCUGGUCUGAGAGGAUGAUCAGCCACACUGGAACUGAGACACGGUCCAGACUCCUACGGGAGGCAGCAGUGGGGAAUAUUGGACAAUGGGCGCAAGCCUGAUCCAGCCAUACCGCGUGGGUGAAGAAGGCCUUCGGGUUGUAAAGCCCUUUUGUUGGGAAAGAAAUCCAGCCGGUUAAUACCUGGUUGGGAUGACGGUACCCAAAGAAUAAGCACCGGCUAACUUCGUGCCAGCAGCCGCAGUAA
This 506-nucleotide ribosomal RNA is filed under the name uncultured bacterium. Its description in RNAcentral is "partial 16S ribosomal RNA". It matches the Rfam family "Bacterial small subunit ribosomal RNA", at positions 29 to 523 of the family's 1533-position model. The record is from RNAcentral.